CGCGUGAGUGACUGCGGAGGAUCAUUACUGAGGUUACCGGGGGUGAGAUUUAGAUGGUUUGCUGCUGGCGUCUUCGGGCGCAUGUGCACGGCUGUCUUGCUCGCCUUCGUUCCUUCCAUCAACCCCUGUGCACUAUAUUAGGAUUAGAGAGAAGCGCGUCGUUAAGGGAUUAACCUAGUAUUUGUGGGUCCUGCCCCGGAGAAAGGGUAAUCUCUGAUCUGCGGCGCGUGGUAUCCCGACGUCCUUCUUAAACACAAAUCACUACAUAUGUCAUGUCAGAAUGUAAGUCCUUUAAUGGACGCUAAAUGUUAUACAACUUUCAACAACGGAUCUCUUGGCUCUCGCAUCGAUGAAGAACGCAGCGAAAUGCGAUAAGUAAUGUGAAUUGCAGAAUUCAGUGAAUCAUCGAAUCUUUGAACGCACCUUGCGCCCCUUGGUAUUCCGAAGGGCACGCCUGUUUGAGUGUCAUGUUAACCUCAAUUCAACAGCUUUGCGGCUGGCAUGAAUUGGAUUUGGGAGUCUGCUGGCCUGUACUAGGUCGGCUCUCCUUGAAUGCAUGAGUGAGCAUCUGGCUCGCGUUGCUGAUGUGAUAGUCUUUCAUCGUUAGCAGCGCUUGCCUAAUGGGCUUGCUUUCGAACCGUCUUCUCAACGGAGACAACUUUUGACAUAUUUGACCUCAAAUCAGGUGGGACUACCCGCUGAACUUAAGCAUAUCAUAAAGCGGAGGAAAAACCGGUGGGC
This 741-nucleotide ribosomal RNA is filed under the name Hymenochaete separabilis. Its description in RNAcentral is "eukaryotic LSU rRNA". The stretch from base 315 to 468 matches the Rfam family "5.8S ribosomal RNA". The record is from RNAcentral. Lineage: Eukaryota; Fungi; Basidiomycota; Agaricomycetes; Hymenochaetales; Hymenochaetaceae.